RNAcentral lists this ribosomal RNA (519 nucleotides) under uncultured eukaryote. RNAcentral describes it as "SSU rRNA". It matches the Rfam family "Eukaryotic small subunit ribosomal RNA", at positions 1161 to 1699 of the family's 1831-position model. The record is from RNAcentral.
AGGGCACCACCAGGAGUGGAGCCUGCGGCUUAAUUUGACUCAACACGGGGAAACUUACCCGGCCUGGACACUGGAAGGAUUGACAGAUUGAGAGCUCUUUCUUGAUUCAGUGGGUGGUGGUGCAUGGCCGUUCUUAGUUGGUGGAGCGAUUUGUCUGGUUAAUUCCGAUAACGAACGAGACUCUAGCCUAUUAAAUAGGCUCUCGGCUUUUAAACGCCGGGAGGACUUCUUAGAGGGACAGGUGGCGGUUCAGCCGCACGAAAGAGAGCAAUAACAGGUCUGUGAUGCCCUUUGUUGUCCGGGGCCGCACGCGCGCUACACUGAAGAGAUCGGCGUGCUUUACGUUCCUGCUCCGACCGGAGUGGGGAACCCAGUGAACCUUCUUCUUGACUGGGAUAGAAGAUUGUAAUUAUUCUUCUUGAACAAGGUAUUCCCAGUUAAUGCGAGUCAUAAGCUCGCGUUGAUUACAUCCCUGCCCUUUCUACACACCGCCCGUCGCUACUACCGAUUGAAAGAUUU